UGCAUCAUCUUCAGCAUCAACAGUCUAAAGUCUUUUUCCUGGAGGCUGAGAAUCUCCUGAUCACUUAGCUGAUUUUCUGGGGUUUUUUUCUUUCUCUCUCAUCUGAGUUAUAGUUCUCUGUCUUUCCAUUUCCAUAGGUUUUUGGUGUGGUGACCUUUUUCCAGAUAAUAGAGUUGUAGCCUCUCUUACUUCUGGUGCCUGCCCCCCUUGUGGCUAAAGUUGGUAUGGGGCUUGCUGUAGGCUUCCUGAUGGGAGGGAUUGGUGCCUGCCCACUGGUAGGUGGAGCUGAUUCCUACCCCUCUGGUGGGUGGGGCUUUGUCUCUGGGUGAGAUUAGAGGUGGCUGUGUGCUUGGGAGGCUCUUUAGGUAGCCUGUUUACUGAUGGGCGGGGCUGUGAUCCUACCUGGAUUGUUGUUUGGCCUGGGGCUUCUCAGCACUGAUGGGUGGGGCCAGGUUUUCCCAAAAUGGUCACCUUCAGAGAAUGGCAUGCUGCUGAAUAUUCCUGAGAGUUUUGCUUCCAAUGUCCUUCCCUCACAACAAGCCACAUUCACCCCUGUUUUCCAGGACGUUCUCCAAGAACUGCAGUCAGGUUUGACUCAGAUUCCUAUGGAAACUUUGCUUUGCCCUGGGACCCAGUGCAUGUGAAAGACUGGUGUGCCUUUUAAGAAUGGGCUGUCUGUUUCCCCCAGUCCCAUGGAGCUCCUGUGCACAAGCCCCACUGGCCUUCAAUGCCAGAUGCUCCAGGGGUUCUUUCUCCCAGUGCCAGAUCCCCACACAUGGGAGUUUGAUGUGGGGCUCAGAACUCUCACUCCUGUAGGUGAGUCUCUGUGAACCAGUUAGUUUCCAGUCUGUGGGGCUUCCCAGCCAGGAGGUGUGGGGUUGCUUAUGUCAUGUAAUUGCCCCGCCUACCUCUUGAUGUGGCCUUCUCUUUGUCAUUUGGAGUAGGAUAUCUUCUUGAAAGUUUCCAGUCCAUCUGGUUGAAGAUUGUACAUUUUGUUGUUUUUAGGAGAGAAAUUGAGCUCCAGUCCUUCUGUUCUGCCAUCCUAAUCCCAUCCUCUGGACUGAAUCUUGACAGAGAAGAUUUCCUUAAGCAAAGAGGGCUUGGGGAAGAUAGCCACCCCCCCAAACUAGGGGAGCAGGGGUGAGAAAGCUACUGGUGGGGUAUGGUGAGCACCACAGAUGAACAAACCAGAAUAAAUGAACCUGUGAACCAAUAUGUGUGCUAAACUGACACACACAACUGUGGACCCCAGUGGGGACCUAAGUAUGUCAUCACACACUAUCUCCAUGUAAAUUAAUAUCUAUAAGUUAGUAUGUUUUUCUUUCCCCUCCCACAACCAAACUUACUGUUUUUCCUAGCUUUCACUUAGCAGGGGGUAGAAAUCUCAGCACCAUCUUCCACUCUCUCCCUCACCCUUAUCUCCAUCCAGUGACCUAUCAAUUCCACCUCUGUGCUCUCCCUCCUAAUCAUUCCCCUUGUUUCUAACCAGGCUGUCAUCAUCUCUCAUGUCAGCUCUCUGCUUCCAGCCUGUCUCUUCUCUACAACUGAAUUUCCAUGGUGUCUCCAGAGGGAUCUCUCAAAGCACAUUUACAAACUCAUCACUUACAGGCUUAAAAAUCUUGGUUGAGAGAAAUGACAGUACGAGAGAUUAAGAUUUAACAAUAAAGCUACAGGGGACACACCAGCAUCAUACUGGCAAAGGAAUAGGCAGAUCCAUGUAAAAGAACACAGUUCAGAAAUACUCAAUUACUUAAGGGCAUUUAGUAUACAAAGAGAUGGCUUUUCAUACGGGUGGGGAAAAAUUAAUUACUGAAUAAAUGGUGUUAGGAACUCCAUGCAACAUCUUAAAAAAAAAGGAAUUGGUCUUUAAAUCUUUCCUUAUACCAAAAUUAAUAAAAUAAUCAAAUUUCAGAGUGUAAAAUAUGAGCAAUGAAAGUACUAGAAAAUAAACAUUCAAAAAAUGGUGUUGGGGCAUUCCCAUUGUGGCUCAGUGGUUAACGAAUCCGACUAGGAUCCAUGAGGUUGCGGGUUCGGUCCCUGCCCUUGCUCAGUGGGUUAAUGAUCCGGCGUUGCCAUGAGCUGUGGUGUAGGUUGCAGAUGCGGCUCGGAUCCCGCGUUGCUGUGGCUCUGGCAUAGGCCGGAGGCUACAGCUCCAACUAGACCCCUAGCCUGGGAACCUCCAUAUGCUGCGGGA
RNAcentral lists this long non-coding RNA (2194 nucleotides) under Sus scrofa (pig). RNAcentral describes it as "lncRNA (ENSSSCG00055012081.1)". The record is from RNAcentral. Lineage: Eukaryota; Metazoa; Chordata; Mammalia; Artiodactyla; Suidae.